This is a non-coding RNA of Capsicum annuum, 101 nucleotides long. The record is from Rfam. NCBI's taxonomy places the organism in Eukaryota, Viridiplantae, Streptophyta, Magnoliopsida, Solanales, Solanaceae.
UUGUUUUAGGGAUGAAUAAGUCCCUGAUAAUUGAAUUCAUUCAUCUCUUUGUCAUCAUCACAAUGUUUGUGUUUUGAUAAUCAUUAUCGGAUGGUACAAUU